AUACAGAUAGCUGUUUACUAUUUAAUUGUGAUUUACUGUCCUGGUAAAGAUGGCUCACGACCCGUCAACAAGUCUAUCACUGAUAACCUGGUUGGAUGGAAUGAACUAUGUUUCCUGGUCUAUGAAAUGCAGUCUAAUUCUGCGUAGG
Notechis scutatus (mainland tiger snake) is the source of this 148-nucleotide non-coding RNA. The record is from RefSeq and is a predicted model, not a curated record. Lineage: Eukaryota; Metazoa; Chordata; Lepidosauria; Squamata; Elapidae.